UCCUCGAUAGCUCAGUCGGUAGAGCACGCGGCUGUUAACCGCGCUGUCGUAGGUUCGAGUCCUACUCGGGGAG
Clostridium sp. CAG:58 is the source of this 73-nucleotide non-coding RNA. The record is from Rfam. Lineage: Bacteria; Bacillati; Bacillota; Clostridia; Eubacteriales; Clostridiaceae.